Anolis carolinensis (green anole) is the source of this 1708-nucleotide long non-coding RNA. The record is from Ensembl. Lineage: Eukaryota; Metazoa; Chordata; Lepidosauria; Squamata; Anolidae.
AUGGUAUUCCCCAUAGUAACCUAUGGAUGCGAGAGCUGGACCAUAAGGAAGGCUGAGCGAAGGAAGAUAGACGCUUUUGAACUCUGGUGUUGGAGGAAAAUCCUGAGAGUGCCUUGGACCGCAAGAAGAUCCAACCAGUCCAUCCUCCAGGAAAUAAUGCCUGACUGUUCACUGGAGGGAAGGAUAUUAGAGGCAAAGUUGAAGUAUUUUGGCCACAUCAUGAGAAGACAGGAAAGCUUGGAGAAGAGCAUGAUGCUGGGAAAAAUGGAAGGAAAAAGGAAGAGAGGCCGACCAAGGGCGAGAUGGAUGGACGGUAUCCUUGAAGGCACUGGCUUGACCUUGAAGGAACUGGGGAGAGACAGGAAAGCUUGGAAAAGAUCACGAUGCUGGGGAAAAUGGAAGGAAAAAGGAAGAGAGGCCGACCAAGGGCAAGAUGGAUGGAUGGGAUCCUUGAAGUGACUGGCUUGACCUUGAAGGAACUGCAGGCGGUGACGGCCGACAGGCAGCUCUGGUGUGGACUGGUCCAUGAGGUUACGAAGAUUCGGAAAUGACUGAGUGAUUGAACAACAGUGAGAUGUUUAAGCGUCCUUCCACACAGCCAUAUAACCCAGAAUAUUAACGCAGAUAAUCCACAAUAUCUGCUUUGAACUGAAUUAUCUGAGUCCAUACUGUCAUAUUUAUUUAUUUAUUUUCAACAUUUCUACCCCGCCUUUCUCACCCGAAGGGACUCAAGGCGGCUUACAAUAAUAGGCAAAAAUUCAAUGCCUAACACAAUACAUUAAAACAACAGUUCAUAUAAAACAAUAACAUAACAUAAUAAAACCCAUAAUACAAAAAUUUAAAAACGGAUCCAAGUUAAAAUCCAUUCAUCUAAAAUCCUCAUACGUAAAUCUUAGUCCAGACCAUGUGAAAUCGAUGUUUUCAUUCAUUAAAUGCUUGCGUACACAACCAUGUCUUUAAGGUUUUCCUGAAGCCCAGGAGAGUUGGACUCUGUCGAAUGUUGAUGGGGAGGAUGUUCCACAGCCGAGGAGCCACCACUGAGAAGGCCCUGUCCCUCGUUCCCAACAGCCGUGCCUGCGAGGCUGGCGGGACUGAGAGCAGGGUCUCCCUAGACAAUCUAAGGGUUCUAACAGACUCAUAGGAGGAGAUACGUUCGGACAGGUAAGAUGGGCCAGAACCCUUUAGGGCUUUGUAGAUCAAAACCAGCACUUUGAAUUGGGCUCAGUAGCAUAUUGGCAGACAGUGGAGCUGGCUUAACAAGGGAGUAGUACGCUCCCUGUAUGCCACCCCAGUUAUUAAUCUGGCUGCUGCCCGUUGUACUAAUUGGAGCUUCUGGGCCGUCUUCAAAGGCAGCCCCACAUAGAGCGCAUUGCAGUAAUCCAAGUGGGAGGUAACCAGAGUGUGGACCACCGUGGCCAAGUCAGACUUCCCAAGGUACAGGUGCAGCUGGCGCACAAGUCUUAGUUGUGCAAAUGUUCCCCUGGCCACUGCUGAGACCUGGGGCUCCAGGCUCAGUGACAAGUCCAGGAAAACACCCAGACUGCGAACCUGUGUCUUCAGGGGGAGUGCGACCCCAUCCAACACAUGCUGCAGCCCUAUACCCUGUUCGGCCCUGUUCGGCCCUACAACUGACCAGGAGGACCUCUGGCUUGUCUGGAUUCAAUUUCAAUUUGUUCGCCCUCAUCCAGUCCGACACAGCGACCAGACA